Molecule: ribosomal RNA, 400 nt
Filed under: uncultured bacterium
Lineage: Bacteria
Description: bacterial SSU rRNA
Rfam family: Bacterial small subunit ribosomal RNA
Source: RNAcentral
UGGGGAAUAUUGCACAAUGGGGGAAACCCUGAUGCAGCAACGCCGUGUGAAGGAAGACGGUUUUCGGAUUGUAAACUUCUUUUCUUAGUGAAGAAGCAAGUGACGGUAGCUAAGGAAUAAGCAUCGGCUAACUACGUGCCAGCAGCCGCGGUAAUACGUAGGAUGCGAGCGUUAUCCGGAAUUACUGGGUGUAAAGGGAGCGCAGGCGGGAUUGCAAGUUGGAUGUGAAGUACCGGGGCUCAACUCCGGGGCUGCGUUUGAAACUGUCGUUCUUGAGUGAAGUAGAGGCAGGCGGAAUUCCUAGUGUAGCGGUGAAAUGCGUAGAUAUUAGGAGGAACACCAGCGGCGAAGGCGGUUCACUGGACUGUAACUGACACUGUGGCACGAAAGCGUGGGGAGC